GGAGAGGUGGCAGAGUGGUCGAUUGCGGCAGACUCGAAAUCUGUUGUACCGCUUGCGGUACCGGGGGUUCGAAUCCCUCUCUCUCCGCCA
Molecule: transfer RNA, 90 nt
Filed under: compost metagenome
Description: tRNA-Ser
Rfam family: tRNA
About the family: Transfer RNA (tRNA) molecules are approximately 80 nucleotides in length.
Source: RNAcentral